CAAGUCAUCACUAUGAUUGGGAAAGAAGCCAAAAUUAUAAUAAAAUGAAAACCUGUGCAUCAAAUCUGAAGGAUGAGUAUAAAAUAGGAUAAACAGUCUUAAAUGAAGAAAUUCAAAAAUAGGAAGCUGAAUUACUUCUCUGAGGAUGUCUUGUCACUAAAACAUGGAGAAUCCAACCUACCCUGCGUAGUUGUGGAAUCCCUCAGAUGACAGCAGUGAAGAUUAUUAAUGAAGAUGUUAAAUAAGAAGAAAGCAACAUCCUUCCCCAUGUACUGCAGUUGAAUUACUAAUCACUUCACGAAUGCUGAAGAAAGCAUUUUAAAAAAGUUUUUUCUGCAAUAUAUACAACCUACACUGAAAAAUCUUAAGCUAUAUGUACUUCAUUCAAUUCAUUCAUGCAUACGAAUAUUCAAAACCUUCAUUUAAGCUCAAAGGCCAUGGAGAUAAAAAAGAAGACAAAUUAACCAGUUGACAAGGACCUAGCUGUCCAAUGUGUUGACUUUGUUGUUACACAAUAUAGUCAAUUCUCAUUAUUCACCAAU
RNAcentral lists this long non-coding RNA (542 nucleotides) under Homo sapiens (human). Its description in RNAcentral is "non-protein coding lnc-CDK17-4:1". Lineage: Eukaryota; Metazoa; Chordata; Mammalia; Primates; Hominidae. The record is from RNAcentral.